UUGCUUCUCUUGAGAGCGGCGGACGGGUGAGUAAUGCCUAGGAAUCUGCCUAGUGGUGGGGGAUAACGUUCGGAAACGGACGCUAAUACCGCAUACGUCCUACGGGAGAAAGCGGGGGAUCUUCGGACCUCGCGCCAUUAGAUGAGCCUAGGUCGGAUUAGCUAGUUGGUGAGGUAAUGGCUCACCAAGGCGACGAUCCGUAACUGGUCUGAGAGGAUGAUCAGUCACACUGGAACUGAGACACGGUCCAGACUCCUACGGGAGGCAGCAGUGGGGAAUAUUGGACAAUGGGCGAAAGCCUGAUCCAGCCAUGCCGCGUGUGUGAAGAAGGUCUUCGGAUUGUAAAGCACUUUAAGUUGGGAGGAAGGGUUGUAGAUUAAUACUCUGCAAUUUUGACGUUACCGACAGAAUAAGCACCGGCUAACUUCGUGCCAGCAGCCGCGGUAAUACGAAGGGUGCAAGCGUUAAUCGGAAUUACUGGGCGUAAAGCGCGCGUAGGUGGUUCGUUAAGUUGGAUGUGAAAGCCCCGGGCUCAACCUGGGAACUGCAUCCAAAACUGGCGAGCUAGAGUACGGUAGAGGGUAGUGGAAUUUCCUGUGUAGCGGUGAAAUGCGUAGAUAUAGGAAGGAACACCAGUGGCGAAGGCGACUACCUGGACUGAUACUGACACUGAGGUGCGAAAGCGUGGGGAGCAAACAGGAUUAGAUACCCUGGUAGUCCACGCCGUAAACGAUGUCAACUAGCCGUUGGAAUCCUUGAGAUUUUAGUGGCGCAGCUAACGCAUUAAGUUGACCGCCUGGGGAGUACGGCCGCAAGGUUAAAACUCAAAUGAAUUGACGGGGGCCCGCACAAGCGGUGG
Molecule: ribosomal RNA, 859 nt
Filed under: Pseudomonas taeanensis
Lineage: Bacteria; Pseudomonadati; Pseudomonadota; Gammaproteobacteria; Pseudomonadales; Pseudomonadaceae
Description: bacterial SSU rRNA
Rfam family: Bacterial small subunit ribosomal RNA
Source: RNAcentral